Molecule: long non-coding RNA, 215 nt
Organism: Temnothorax curvispinosus
Lineage: Eukaryota; Metazoa; Arthropoda; Insecta; Hymenoptera; Formicidae
Exons: 3
Source: RefSeq, a predicted model, not a curated record
AUUUAUGCGGGUGGAAUAUAGCGGUGAUUAUACCGUCAGACGUGACAUCUCCCUCCUUAGGGAAGUUCGGUCCCCGAACUUUUAUUAGAUUCUAAAAUGUGCUUGGCAGUGUAAGAGCUGUGUUGCUGCAGUUGGAUUUAUGUAAAUCGAGGGUUGGUUAUCUAUACUGUCACCGUGAUUUCGUUGGAUGGAUAUGAUAAGGAUAAAUUAAAAGU